CUCCACGCUUGAUUUCCACACAAUAUAUGCGGACGCCCACUUCUUCGAAUUGACAGACGACUUCCCACACAACACAGAGCGGCGAACGGCGAACGACGAACGAAUUCCACCCGACGAACGGCUUCCACGCGGCCAACGGCUUCCAUAGUGAACGGCUGCCACGACAAACGGCAAACAACAAACCUCUUCUUCGAAUUGACAGACGACUUCCCACACAACACAGAGCGGCGAACGGCGAACGACGAACGAAUUCCACCCGACGAACGGCUUCCACGCGGCCAACGGCUUCCAUAGUGAACGACUGCCACGAAAAACGGCAAACAACAAACCUCUUCCGCACGGCGAACUGCUUCCGCGUUCAAAGGUAUGUAAGUUCAACGGAUGAGGCCGAGAUGGCUUUCGUUCAUCUAAAGAUGUGGUUCCCCAUCAAGACAUUUGCUCAAGAAGUUACAAGAAGAUGCAGACCCUAGUUUGUUUUUGUGAUUUAUCAGAUUGAAGAGCCUUCUUUGAUCCUUCCAGGAAGAGUCCCCUUUCACUUUUUUUCCUUAGGCUGGUUACUUGGAUGCCUUUUGGCUUUACCUAUGAAUUACUUAGUAGUCAGUAUUUCAGAAUAAUGUUUAAUUAUGAAGAUUAGUUGGUUAGCUUCUUGGUUAUUCCGUAUCCUUUCAAUAGUAAUAAUAUUGAUGAUUAAAAUUUUAAAAAAAAGUGCUAAUGCAUUGAGUAAUGUUUAUCUGGUUAAUAAAAAAGAUGAUUCUUGAUGUUGAACCAUACCAAGGUCACCCUUAUUUAUUAUUUCAUACACUUGGUGUAGCAACUUUUGCUGUUCAGGUCGUGUUAGGGACAUUAGUCUGUGUACCCUUAAUACUUGGUAAAUAUAUCUCUUAUAACCUUCCCUUAA
This is a long non-coding RNA of Cucumis sativus (cucumber), 898 nucleotides long. RefSeq lists it as uncharacterized. The transcript has 2 exons. NCBI's taxonomy places the organism in Eukaryota, Viridiplantae, Streptophyta, Magnoliopsida, Cucurbitales, Cucurbitaceae. The record is from RefSeq and is a predicted model, not a curated record.